GCGGUGGAUGAUGUGGAUAAUUCGAUGCAACGCGAAAACCUUACCUACCCUUGACAUGUCCGGAAUCCCGAAGAGAGUUUGGGAGUGCUCGCAAGAGAACCGGAACACAGGUGCUGCAUGGCUGUCGUCAGCUCGUGUCGUGAGAUGUUGGGUUAAGUCCCGCAACGAGCGCAACCCUUGUCAUUAGUUGCCAUCAUUUGGUUGGGCACUCUAAUGAGACUGCCGGUGACAAACCGGAGGAAGGUGGGGAUGACGUCAAGUCCUCAUGGCCCUUAUGGGUAGGGCUUCACACGUCAUACAAUGGUCGGUACAGAGGGUUGCCAACCCGCGAGGGGGAGCUAAUCCCACAAAGCCGAUCGUAGUCCGGACCGCAGUCUGCAACUCGACUGCGUGAAGUCGGAAUCGCUAGUAAUCGCAGAUCAGCAACGCUGCGGUGAAUACGUUCCCGGGCCUU
RNAcentral lists this ribosomal RNA (454 nucleotides) under uncultured Rhodocyclaceae bacterium. Its description in RNAcentral is "bacterial SSU rRNA". It matches the Rfam family "Bacterial small subunit ribosomal RNA", at positions 929 to 1382 of the family's 1533-position model. The record is from RNAcentral. Lineage: Bacteria; Pseudomonadati; Pseudomonadota; Betaproteobacteria; Rhodocyclales; Rhodocyclaceae.